RNAcentral lists this ribosomal RNA (385 nucleotides) under uncultured bacterium. RNAcentral's name for it is "bacterial SSU rRNA". It matches the Rfam family "Bacterial small subunit ribosomal RNA", at positions 370 to 772 of the family's 1533-position model. The record is from RNAcentral.
AAUGGGGGCAACCCUGAUCCAGCAAUGCCGCGUGGGUGAUGAAGGCCUUCGGGUUGUAAAGCCCUUUCGGCGGGGACGAUGAUGACGGUACCCGCAGAAGAAGCCCCGGCUAACUUCGUGCCAGCAGCCGCGGUAAUACGAAGGGGGCUAGCGUUGUUCGGAAUGACUGGGCGUAAAGGGCGCGUAGGCGGCGAUUUUAGUCAGGCGUGAAAGCCCUGGGCUCAACCUAGGAACUGCGUUUGAUACUGGAUCGCUUGAGUGUGGGAGAGGAUGGUGGAAUUCCCAGUGUAGAGGUGAAAUUCGUAGAUAUUGGGAAGAACACCGGUGGCGAAGGCGGCCAUCUGGACCACUACUGACGCUGAGGCGCGAAAGCGUGGGGAGCAAA